UACGUAGGGUGCGAGCGUUGUCCGGAAUUAUUGGGCGUAAAGAGCUUGUAGGCGGUUUGUCGCGUCUGCUGUGAAAAUCCGGGGCUCAACCCCGGACUUGCGGUGGGUACGGGCAGGCUAGAGUGUGGUAGGGGAGACUGGAAUUCCUGGUGUAGCGGUGAAAUGCGCAGAUAUCAGGAGGAACACCGAUGGCGAAGGCAGGUCUCUGGGCCACUACUGACGCUGAGAAGCGAAAGCAUGGGGAGCGAACAGG
This 253-nucleotide ribosomal RNA is filed under the name uncultured bacterium. RNAcentral describes it as "partial 16S ribosomal RNA". It matches the Rfam family "Bacterial small subunit ribosomal RNA", at positions 524 to 776 of the family's 1533-position model. The record is from RNAcentral.